Molecule: long non-coding RNA, 85 nt
Organism: Aricia agestis (brown argus)
Lineage: Eukaryota; Metazoa; Arthropoda; Insecta; Lepidoptera; Lycaenidae
Exons: 3
Source: RefSeq, a predicted model, not a curated record
AAAUUGUCACUUGUAUGUUUUUUUAAUAACAAAGGAGGUUUACAGAGGAGGCCUUAUUCGAUUCAACACAGAGGUACUAAUAAUA